GACGAACGCUGGCGGCGUGCUUAACACAUGCAAGUCGAACGAUGAAGCCGGAGCUUGCUCUGGUGAAUUAGUGGCGAACGGGUGAGUAACACGUGAGUAACCUGCCCUUGACUCUGGGAUAACUGCGGGAAACUGUAGCUAAUACCGGAUACGACCCUCGGAGGCAUCUCCUGGGGGUGGAAAGAAUUUCGGUCAAGGAUGGACUCGCGGCCUAUCAGCUAGUUGGUGAGGUAAAGGCUCACCAAGGCGACGACGGGUAGCCGGCCUGAGAGGGUGACCGGCCACACUGGGACUGAGACACGGCCCAGACUCCUACGGGGGGCAGCAGUGGGGAAUAUUGCACAAUGGGCGCAAGCCUGAUGCAGCAACGCCGCGUGAGAGAUGACGGCCUUCGGGUUGUAAACCUCUUUUAGCAUGGAAGAAGCGAAAGUGACGGUACCUGCAGAAAAAGCACCGGCUAACUACGUGCCAGCCGCCGCGGUAA
RNAcentral lists this ribosomal RNA (484 nucleotides) under uncultured bacterium. RNAcentral describes it as "partial 16S ribosomal RNA". It matches the Rfam family "Bacterial small subunit ribosomal RNA", at positions 28 to 523 of the family's 1533-position model. The record is from RNAcentral.